RNAcentral lists this unclassified non-coding RNA (2266 nucleotides) under Hevea brasiliensis (rubber tree). Lineage: Eukaryota; Viridiplantae; Streptophyta; Magnoliopsida; Malpighiales; Euphorbiaceae. The record is from RNAcentral.
GUAAAAAUAGCCUAAAGGGCAACUAUUUGAUCAUUGAAUUAUUUUAUAUUUUGGAAUUGUUGUACAAAAUUUUUUUCCUGGUUAUUGACAUUGUAAUAUAAAGUCAAGAAGAAACCCAUCUGCUUUCAAAUGAAUAAAGAACCAGCACAUAAGAUUUCAUUAAUAUGCACAUCUCAAGCAUUGAAGAGUUUUCUAAAAGGUCCAUCCUUCCUGUCCUUAGCAGCUUCUGUUAGAGCAAGGAACCUCUUGAAGCCAGUCGUUGCAGCACCUCGUCCAAGUGCAGCUGCUCUGGUAAGCACAUCUUCUCGGGAAGCAAUAAAUCCAACUGUCUGAUUUGUAAUUGCAGGAGCUGGAGCAGCAGGUACAACUGAUGGUGCAAUCGAAGGCUGUGUAAUUGCUGGCCCAUGUUUGUUGAAGUCAUCCAGUAUACUCUGCUGAUCUGCCUUUUUAAGACCCUUAAGCUCCAGAAUACGCUGAAACUCCAUUGGUGUUCCCUCUGGUAGCAAUGCCCUAUAUGUAUCUGCCACAGAAUCUAUGGGGGAGAGUAUAACCUUCAAAAGUGCUUCAGCUUUACUCAUUUCCCGGCUUACAAACUUUGAAUAGCUAGCAGCACCUGAUGUCUGCCGACCGAGGGAAGGAAUCUCUAGAAGAAUCGUCUUUACAGCUUGAGUAUCUAAAAGCAUUUGUUGGGCUCCAGUUUCUGAUAUGUGCUUGCAUUUGAAAAUGUUGGCAUAAAAUCGUGGACCAAGAGAGGAUGCCAGCUUGUCCAAAAAGUACUGGAAAUGAACUGGAGAUAAAAGACUUCCGAGUACAGGAAUGCUGCUUGUAAGUAUCAUAUUUAUGCCGUUAACAUACUCUGAUUGGUCACCAACACUUUCAAGUGUACCCCAUGGAACACGUGUCAUCGUUACCAUUUCAGAAUCAAAUUUAGUUUCCAGGCCAUGCACUAGGGUCAUUAAUGCUUCUGUAAUAAGGCCUGAAAACUCCUCCUCAACAGCUGACAUAUCCACCCCUGCUGCUAAUUGAGGAUCAAUUAUUUUGGAUACACUUUCUGCCAGUUCACCUGACGUUUUUCGGCAGUAUUCAGCUGAAUUGAUAAUAUAGCAAAUCACCCUUUCAUCUCUGUCAGACAUCUUUAUUUGUCCAUCCAUGCCUGUAGCAGCAGCAACAAUACCCACACCACCCUUUGGUAGUCUUGCUUUAAGCUUCGCAACAUAUGCUUUGAGAAUUCUUUCAAAUACCUUAAACAAAUUAAAUAACGUCUGGUUCUUUGUCAGGGCACUGCACCUCUUUAAGCUCCGCUUGAUUAUAAGAAACAACUGCAUGCUACUGGAUAAAACAUUAUUCUGACUGCCCUCCUCAAUAUCCCAUGUUUCCUCCUGAACAAGUUUGUCGAGAUUCUCCAUCAGAGUUUUCUGUUCCAACUCAACAUAAAUUGUCAAGUGAGGCUCAAAGCAAGAUGAAAUAAUUCCGCGGAAGUUGAACCCAGCUCCUGGUACUGAUAAAUCUUUAUUUUCAUCCUUCUCUUCAGGCUCUCCUUGAUUAGCAGCAAGCUUUCUUUCAUACUUUUUUCGAAUAUCUGAUACACUUUGACUAUUACUGUCCUUGCCAAUUUCUUCUAUCUCAUUCCCAAUCUCUCUACUACUAGAGCCGCCUCCAAAUUUUUCAGCUAAUUCAUCCUCAAAUUCUAAAGUUCGUUGUAGUGCCAACAACAAAGUUCCAACGUCCGGCUUCUCUUUGACAUUAUCAAGUAUUCCCUCUAGUUGUUUCCUUGUCUUCUUACAGAACUGAAUACAAAGCCGAUAAGGAACGUGCCACAAGGAAGGAAAAAUCCUCCAUAUCUCCUCAUUUGUUCUUAUUCGACGCUUGAUCCAUGCAUAUCUUCGUUCAGUUUUGUCAAGCUUAGCUAGCUCAGCUCCUUCAAAGAUUUGUUCAUAUGAAGUAAGCUCCCUGCUGCAAAAAUUAUUUACCAACUCUUCCCUCACAGAUGGCUCCAAAGCAUCAACAACCAAGCAUGCCUCAGAUAAGUGCUGCAGUAAAUUAGUUUCUUCUGUCUCUUUCCCAGUACCUAAGCUUGAGAAAUCUGAAAACACAUGUGACUUGAGUAUUUGUUUGAUAUUUUUAAACUUCUCUCUGAGUUCUGUAAUUUUUGGUAUAUCCCUAUAGGCCUCAAAAUGACUACAUAAUUGGUUCACUGCCUCUAGCUGAGCAGCUGCCUCUUUAUACUGUCGUUUAGAAGCCAUUAUCUGAAGUUGCUCAACAGCAG